AGCGGCGUACGUCGGCCCCGGCCGCGCCCGCUGGUGUCGGGCUCGGCAUGCCGGCGAUCGGCGUCCCCGCGCCGCUUCC
RNAcentral lists this transfer RNA (79 nucleotides) under Nocardioides phosphati. Its description in RNAcentral is "tRNA-Thr". Lineage: Bacteria; Bacillati; Actinomycetota; Actinomycetes; Propionibacteriales; Nocardioidaceae. The record is from RNAcentral.